CCGGGGUUUGGGGUGGAUCCUCGGGGGGUUUUUUCUCUUUUUGGGGGUUCUCGGAGGGAUCAUUACCGAGUUUACAACUCCCAAACCCAAUGUGAACGUUACCAAACUGUUGCCUCGGCGGGAUCUCUGCCCCGGGUGCGUCGCAGCCCCGGACCAAGGCGCCCGCCGGAGGACCAACCAAAACUCUUAUUGUAUACCCCCUCGCGGGUUUUUUUAUAAUCUGAGCCUUCUCGGCGCCUCUCGUAGGCGUUUCGAAAAUGAAUCAAAACUUUCAACAACGGAUCUCUUGGUUCUGGCAUCGAUGAAGAACGCAGCGAAAUGCGAUAAGUAAUGUGAAUUGCAGAAUUCAGUGAAUCAUCGAAUCUUUGAACGCACAUUGCGCCCGCCAGUAUUCUGGCGGGCAUGCCUGUCCGAGCGUCAUUUCAACCCUCGAACCCCUCCGGGGGGUCGGCGUUGGGGAUCGGCCCUGCCUUGGCGGUGGCCGUCUCCGAAAUACAGUGGCGGUCUCGCCGCAGCCUCUCCUGCGCAGUAGUUUGCACACUCGCAUCGGGAGCGCGGCGCGUCCACAGCCGUUAAACACCCAACUUCUGAAAUGUGACCUCGGAUCAGGUAGGAUGCCAGAUUU
Molecule: ribosomal RNA, 625 nt
Filed under: Trichoderma harzianum
Lineage: Eukaryota; Fungi; Ascomycota; Sordariomycetes; Hypocreales; Hypocreaceae
Description: eukaryotic LSU rRNA
Rfam family: 5.8S ribosomal RNA (bases 267-420)
Source: RNAcentral